AGCAGCCGCGGUAAUUCCAGCUCCAAUAGCGUAUAUUAAAGUUGUUGCAGUUAAAAAGCUCGUAGUUGAAUUUCGGGAUCAAUGCGUCGGUCGUGCCUUCGGUACGUACUAGCGUCAUUGAUUCCUCCCUUCUGAAGAACCGUGAUGUCAUUAAUUUGGUGUUACGGGGAAUCAGGACUGUUACCUUGAAGAAAUUAGAGUGUUUAAAGCAGGCUAACGCUUGAAUACAUUAGCAUGGAAUAAUGAAAUAGGACGUUCGAACCUAUUUUGUUGGUUUCUAGGAUCGACGUAAUGAUUAAUAGGGAUAGUUGGGGGCAUUAGUAUUCAAUUGUCAGAGGUGAAAUUCUUGGAUUUAUUGAAGACUAACUACUGCGAAAGCAUUUGCCAAGGAUGUUUUCAUUAAUCAAGAACGAAAGUUAGGGAUCGAAGACGAUCAGAUACCGUCGUAGUCUUAACCAUAAACUAUGCCGACUAGGGAUCGGAUGAUGUAAUUUUUAUGACUUCAUUCGGCGCCUUACGG
This 520-nucleotide ribosomal RNA is filed under the name uncultured Glomus. Its description in RNAcentral is "SSU rRNA". It matches the Rfam family "Eukaryotic small subunit ribosomal RNA", at positions 569 to 1093 of the family's 1831-position model. Lineage: Eukaryota; Fungi; Glomeromycota; Glomeromycetes; Glomerales; Glomeraceae. The record is from RNAcentral.